Dromiciops gliroides (monito del monte) is the source of this 107-nucleotide small nuclear RNA. NCBI's taxonomy places the organism in Eukaryota, Metazoa, Chordata, Mammalia, Microbiotheria, Microbiotheriidae. The record is from RefSeq and is a predicted model, not a curated record.
GUGCUCACUUCAGCAGUGCAUAUAUUAAAAUUGGAACUAUACAGAGAAGAUUAGCAUGGCCCUUACGCAUGGACGACACGCAAAUUUGUGAAGUGUAGGAAAGUUAA